RNAcentral lists this ribosomal RNA (587 nucleotides) under Burkholderiales bacterium SDB-054. RNAcentral's name for it is "bacterial SSU rRNA". It matches the Rfam family "Bacterial small subunit ribosomal RNA", at positions 102 to 685 of the family's 1533-position model. RNAcentral also lists the same sequence under 1 other name. The record is from RNAcentral. Lineage: Bacteria; Pseudomonadati; Pseudomonadota; Betaproteobacteria; Burkholderiales.
ACGGGUGAGUAAUACAUCGGAACGUGCCCGAUCGUGGGGGAUAACGCAGCGAAAGCUGUGCUAAUACCGCAUACGAUCUACGGAUGAAAGCGGGGGAUCGCAAGACCUCGCGCGGACGGAGCGGCCGAUGGCAGAUUAGGUAGUUGGUGAGGUAAAGGCUCACCAAGCCGUCGAUCUGUAGCUGGUCUGAGAGGACGACCAGCCACACUGGGACUGAGACACGGCCCAGACUCCUACGGGAGGCAGCAGUGGGGAAUUUUGGACAAUGGGCGCAAGCCUGAUCCAGCCAUGCCGCGUGCAGGAUGAAGGCCUUCGGGUUGUAAACUGCUUUUGUACGGAACGAAACGGUCUUUUCUAAUAAAGAAGGCUAAUGACGGUACCGUAAGAAUAAGCACCGGCUAACUACGUGCCAGCAGCCGCGGUAAUACGUAGGGUGCAAGCGUUAAUCGGAAUUACUGGGCGUAAAGCGUGCGCAGGCGGUGAUGUAAGACAGAUGUGAAAUCCCCGGGCUCAACCUGGGAACUGCAUUUGUGACUGCAUCGCUGGAGUGCGGCAGAGGGGGAUGGAAUUCCGCGUGUAGCAGUGAA